GCGGACGUGGCGGAAUGGUAGACGCCAGAGACUUAAAAUCUCUUGUCCUCCGGGGCGUGCGGGUUCGAGUCCCGCCGUCCGCACCA
This 86-nucleotide transfer RNA is filed under the name Allosphingosinicella flava. Its description in RNAcentral is "Sphingosinicella sp. UDD2 tRNA-Leu". It matches the Rfam family "tRNA". Rfam says of the family: Transfer RNA (tRNA) molecules are approximately 80 nucleotides in length. Their secondary structure includes four short double-helical elements and three loops (D, anti-codon, and T loops). Lineage: Bacteria; Pseudomonadati; Pseudomonadota; Alphaproteobacteria; Sphingomonadales; Sphingomicrobiaceae. The record is from RNAcentral.